AGGAUGAACGCUAGCGGCGUGCCUAACACAUGCAAGUCGAACGUGAAGGGGUACUUGUACUCCUGAAAGUGGCGGACGGGUGAGUAAGACGUAGGUGACCUGCCUUGAAGUGGGGGAUAACCAUUGGAAACGAUGGCUAAUACCGCAUGACGUUAUUUGGUUGGGAAACGAGAUAACCAAAGUUGAGGCGCUUUGAGAGGGGCCUACGGCCGAUUAGCUAGUUGGUGGGGUAAGAGCCUACCAAGGCGAUGAUCGGUAGCUGGUCUGAGAGGACGAUCAGCCACACGGGAACUGAGACACGGUCCCGACUCCGUACGGGGGCAGCAGUGAGGAAUA
Molecule: ribosomal RNA, 336 nt
Filed under: uncultured soil bacterium
Lineage: Bacteria
Description: bacterial SSU rRNA
Rfam family: Bacterial small subunit ribosomal RNA
Source: RNAcentral